This 253-nucleotide ribosomal RNA is filed under the name uncultured bacterium. Its description in RNAcentral is "partial 16S ribosomal RNA". It matches the Rfam family "Bacterial small subunit ribosomal RNA", at positions 524 to 776 of the family's 1533-position model. The record is from RNAcentral.
UACGUAGGUCGCAAGCGUUGUCCGGAUUUACUGGGCGUAAAGAGCGCGCAGGCGGCUGGUCAAGUCCGAUGUGAAAUCUCCCGGCUCAACUGGGAAACUGCAUCGGAAACUGAUCGGCUUGAAGAUGGGAGAGGGUAGUGGAAUUCCCGGUGUAGUGGUGAAAUGCGUAGAUAUCGGGAGGAACACCAGUGGCGAAGGCGGCUUUCUGGACGACAACUGACGCUGAGACGCGAAAGCGUGGGGAGCAAACAGG